Molecule: ribosomal RNA, 589 nt
Filed under: Pantoea sp. YK16(2011)
Lineage: Bacteria; Pseudomonadati; Pseudomonadota; Gammaproteobacteria; Enterobacterales; Erwiniaceae
Also listed under: 1 other name
Description: bacterial SSU rRNA
Rfam family: Bacterial small subunit ribosomal RNA
Source: RNAcentral
UGUUCCCUUGAGGAGUGGCUUCCGGAGCUAACGCGUUAAGUCGACCGCCUGGGGAGUACGGCCGCAAGGUUAAAACUCAAAUGAAUUGACGGGGGCCCGCACAAGCGGUGGAGCAUGUGGUUUAAUUCGAUGCAACGCGAAGAACCUUACCUACUCUUGACAUCCAGAGAAUUUAGCAGAGAUGCUUUGGUGCCUUCGGGAACUGUGAGACAGGUGCUGCAUGGCUGUCGUCAGCUCGUGUUGUGAAAUGUUGGGUUAAGUCCCGCAACGAGCGCAACCCUUAUCCUUUGUUGCCAGCGAUUCGGUCGGGAACUCAAAGGAGACUGCCGGUGAUAAACCGGAGGAAGGUGGGGAUGACGUCAAGUCAUCAUGGCCCUUACGAGUAGGGCUACACACGUGCUACAAUGGCGCAUACAAAGAGAAGCGACCUCGCGAGAGCAAGCGGACCUCAUAAAGUGCGUCGUAGUCCGGAUCGGAGUCUGCAACUCGACUCCGUGAAGUCGGAAUCGCUAGUAAUCGUGGAUCAGAAUGCCACGGUGAAUACGUUCCCGGGCCUUGUACACACCGCCCGUCACACCAUGGGAGUGGG